UCCAAAUGCACUUAAUCUUAUUCUCUACCU
RNAcentral lists this non-coding RNA (30 nucleotides) under Rattus norvegicus (Norway rat). Lineage: Eukaryota; Metazoa; Chordata; Mammalia; Rodentia; Muridae. The record is from RNAcentral.